GAAUGACUCUCGGCAACGGAUAUCUCGGCUCUCGCAUCGAUGAAGAACGUAGCGAAAUGCGAUACUUGGUGUGAAUUGCAGAAUCCCGUGAACCAUCGAGUCUUUGAACGCAAGUUGCGCCCGACGCCUUCUGGCCGAGGGCACGCCUGCCUGGGCGUCACGC
Molecule: ribosomal RNA, 163 nt
Filed under: Bredemeyera floribunda
Lineage: Eukaryota; Viridiplantae; Streptophyta; Magnoliopsida; Fabales; Polygalaceae
Description: 5.8S ribosomal RNA
Rfam family: 5.8S ribosomal RNA
About the family: 5.8S ribosomal RNA (5.8S rRNA) is a component of the large subunit of the eukaryotic ribosome. It is transcribed by RNA polymerase I as part of the 45S precursor that also contains 18S and 28S rRNA. Functionally, it is thought that 5.8S rRNA may be involved in ribosome translocation.
Source: RNAcentral